GGUCCUAUAGCUCAGUCGGUAGAGCGUGUGGCUGUUAACCACAAAGUCGGAGGUUCAAGCCCUCCUGGGACCG
This 73-nucleotide transfer RNA is filed under the name Dermatophagoides pteronyssinus (European house dust mite). RNAcentral's name for it is "tRNA-Asn". It matches the Rfam family "tRNA". Rfam says of the family: Transfer RNA (tRNA) molecules are approximately 80 nucleotides in length. Their secondary structure includes four short double-helical elements and three loops (D, anti-codon, and T loops). The record is from Rfam by way of RNAcentral. Lineage: Eukaryota; Metazoa; Arthropoda; Arachnida; Sarcoptiformes; Pyroglyphidae.